This is a non-coding RNA of Gossypium hirsutum (cotton), 150 nucleotides long. The record is from Rfam. NCBI's taxonomy places the organism in Eukaryota, Viridiplantae, Streptophyta, Magnoliopsida, Malvales, Malvaceae.
GGUUAAAAAUCCCAUUUGUUUCUGCCAUUAAAAAUGGGCAUGGUUGACAAAAUAUCCAAAUGGUGACACAUAAUGUGUCACGUGUACCUUAUGCUGACGUACAGGGAAAAAUUUUUAACAGUAGAAAUGGAUAUAAUAGAAUUUUUAAUA